AGAGAGAAAGACAUUUCGGACUAGGAAAAAAACCCGACCCCUCCGUCGCACAGCAGCAGGAGCUGCCCCCACCACCUGCGCGGCCAACGACACCAAGCCCUCACCGAACCCCUCGGCUUUGUUUCCCAUCUCGCCUCGGUCCUCCGCCAAAUCCCCAAAUCGCAGCCCCCGAUCCGCCGCCGUCCCCGAUUCGCCGCCGCCGUUGACCCGCGCAAAUGACCUCCGGCCCGCCGUCGCCUUCCGGCAAGGCUUACUCCCGCAAAUCUCACGGCCCCGGCCCCAAAUCCUCCAAGGCCCGCUCCUUCGACGCUCACAAUGGCCCGCUGAUCCCCACCGUCACCUUCUCGCUCCCCUCGACGCCGGCCACGCGACGAGAGCUGCGGCGCCGCCUCUCCGCGGAGCUCGCACAGGUGCGCGCCGCCUACAAGCGCAUAAGCUCCCUCCCCGCUCCCGCCCCCUCCUCCGCGCUCUCCGCCACUGACCCCUCCACCCCGCUCCCGCCGCACCCCUCCGUCUCCAAGCACAAGUCCAAGAAGGGCCCCCCGAACCCGUCCGGCUCGGCGGAGGCGCGGCGCAAGCUCUACGCUCCCGUCUUCAGGAGCUGCGCCGUGGUGCUUGCGCGGCUGAUGAAGCACAAGCACGGCUGGGUGUUCAACGUGCCGGUCGACGCCAGCGCGCUUGGCCUGCACGACUACCACACCAUCAUCACCAAGCCCAUGGACCUCGGCACCGUCAAGUCAAGGCUGGCCGCCGGGCACUACAAGUCGCCGCGGGAGUUCGCAACUGAAGUCCGUCUGACUUUUCAGAACGCCAUGAGGUACAACCCCAAGGGGCAGGAUGUGUAUUUCAUGGCCGAGCAGCUUCUAAAUAUGUUCGAGGAGAAGUGGCCAGAGAUUGAAGCUGAGAUGGCACAGCUGUCACCGCAGCCACCUACACCAUCAUCUGCCCCGCCCAAGAAGCAGAAGCAGAGGGAGAGGGAGAGAGAGAGGGAGAUGGAUAGUGCUAGAGUACUAGAGAGGUCUGACUCCACAGCGCAUGCUGCAGCAUUGGAGGCUCCCCCGAAGCCGCACGCUGGUACCGCCAGACCCCCAGUUUUAAAGAAGCCAAAGGCAAGGGAUCCUAAUAAGAGGGAGAUGACGUUCUGGGAGAAGCAGCGGCUUAGUAACGACCUCCAGGACUUGCCAGCCGAGAAGCUCGAUAAUGUUGUACAGAUCAUAAAGAAGAGGAACUCAUCACUUAAUCAGCAUGACGAUGAGAUUGAGGUUGAUAUAGAUAGCUUUGAUGUUGAGACAUUAUGGGAGCUUGAUAGGUUUGUGACAAACUACAAGAAAAGUAUAACCAAGAAUAAGCGGAAGGCCGAGCUUUCCGUAGCAAGGCAGGAUGAGUCCGACCAUGAGCCGGAUUUGGAGAAGAUUGAGCAUGCCAGGCAUGAUGAGGGAGAGCAGGAUCAGAUGCGCACAGUACAUAAUACGAUCCCAGAACCAGAAGCAAUUGAUGUAGUUGAUGUGGUUGAUGUUGAACCGCCUAUGGUUGAAGCUGAACCACAUAAGGAAAUUGCAGCAGAUGACAAUGGGAGAUAUAUGGGUUCAUCAUCACCUGCUCAUUUAGAAGAUCAGAAAGGAGACAAUGUCGGUAGAUCAAGUAGUUCUGGAAGCUCUAGCAGCGAAUCAGGGUCUUCCUCCAGUGAUACGGAUUCUGAUAGUUCAUCAGCAGAUGGCUCUGAUGCCGCACAGUCACCCAAAUCGUAACAUCUAUAGGCCAGAUCUUAACGUCAGACAGAAGAUGAUAACCUGUCUUUUUAGCCUCAUAGUGGAUGCCGGAGAUCACGCAUGCAUUUCAUGCGUCUGUACCAUUAUUUGCAGUUAUGUACCUAUUGUAGAGUGCUGCGUUUACUUAGUCAUUCGCUGGAAGUUAUCUGACAAUUGGAUAGAAGACACCUGCAAAUUGGGCAAGUAAAGACAGCCGGUGAAGACCAGGAACCUGGAGACCUCGCCCUGUUGUAAGAUUGUAAAAUUGUUAUAGUUGGUUAAUUUCUUUUGUUUUAUUUUGGAACUAGCUAGUCUGUAAUUUAUGUUGGGUCGGAAUAGGGCGGAUAAUUCAUCUUUCCCAUUGCUCUGAUUGUUCUAAAGAUCUCUACACGCUCGUUUGAGCUGUAACAUUAAACAUUUUUUACCUCAAUAAUGGAGGCAAUCUGGAGGUUCACUUGGC
This 2208-nucleotide ribosomal RNA is filed under the name Triticum aestivum (bread wheat). RNAcentral describes it as "partial small subunit ribosomal RNA". Lineage: Eukaryota; Viridiplantae; Streptophyta; Magnoliopsida; Poales; Poaceae. The record is from RNAcentral.